RNAcentral lists this ribosomal RNA (451 nucleotides) under uncultured bacterium. RNAcentral describes it as "bacterial SSU rRNA". It matches the Rfam family "Bacterial small subunit ribosomal RNA", at positions 29 to 524 of the family's 1533-position model. The record is from RNAcentral.
AACGAACGCUGGCGGCAUGCCUAACACAUGCAAGUCGAACGAAGCCUUCGGGCUUAGUGGCGCACGGGUGCGUAACACGUGGGAAUCUGCCCUUCGGUUCGGAAUAACAGUUAGAAAUGACUGCUAAUACCGGAUGAUGACGUAAGUCCAAAGAUUUAUCGCCGAAGGAUGAGCCCGCGUAGGAUUAGGUAGUUGGUAGGGUAAUGGCCUACCAAGCCGACGAUCCUUAGCUGGUCUGAGAGGAUGAUCAGCCACACUGGGACUGAGACACGGCCCAGACUCCUACGGGAGGCAGCAGUGGGGAAUAUUGGACAAUGGGCGAAAGCCUGAUCCAGCAAUGCCGCGUGAGUGAUGAAGGCCUUAGGGUUGUAAAGCUCUUUUACCUAGGGAUGAUAAUGACAGUACCUGGAGAAUAAGCUCCGGCUAACUCCGUGCCAGCAGCCGCGGUAAU